GUGGGGAAUAUUGGGCAAUGGGGGAAACCCUGACCCAGCAACGCCGCGUGCAGGAAGAAGGCCUUCGGGUUGUAAACUGCUUUUGUACGGAACGAAACGGUCCUGGUUAAUACCUGGGGCUAAUGACGGUACCGUAAGAAUAAGCACCGGCUAACUACGUGCCAGCAGCCGCGGUAAUACGUAGGGUGCGAGCGUUAAUCGGAAUUACUGGGCGUAAAGCGUGCGCAGGCGGUGCUGUAAGACAGGCGUGAAAUCCCCGGGCUCAACCUGGGAAUUGCGCUUGUGACUGCAGUGCUGGAGUACGGCAGAGGGGGAUGGAAUUCCGCGUGUAGCAGUGAAAUGCGUAGAUAUGCGGAGGAACACCGAUGGCGAAGGCAGUCCCCUGGGCCUGUACUGACGCUCAUGCACGAAAGCGUGGGGAGCAAACAGGAUUAGAUACCCCGGUAGUCC
Molecule: ribosomal RNA, 450 nt
Filed under: uncultured bacterium
Lineage: Bacteria
Description: partial 16S ribosomal RNA
Rfam family: Bacterial small subunit ribosomal RNA
Source: RNAcentral